Molecule: unclassified non-coding RNA, 191 nt
Filed under: Basidiomycota sp.
Lineage: Eukaryota; Fungi; Basidiomycota
Description: partial contains small subunit ribosomal RNA, internal transcribed spacer 1, and 5.8S ribosomal RNA
Rfam family: Eukaryotic small subunit ribosomal RNA (bases 1-47)
Source: RNAcentral
AAAGUCGUAACAAGGUUUCCGUAGGUGAACCUGCGGAAGGAUCAUUAAAGAAUUCAAAUUGGGUAAAUACUUUUACCAACCCAUGUGAACCGUAAAGUUUUUUACAAACUACGUCUUACUUAAACCUAAGCCUGAAGUAAACAUAAAAUAUAAAUCAAAUACAACUUUCAACAACGGAUCUCUUGGCUCCU